Molecule: long non-coding RNA, 1357 nt
Filed under: Nicotiana tabacum (common tobacco)
Lineage: Eukaryota; Viridiplantae; Streptophyta; Magnoliopsida; Solanales; Solanaceae
Description: long non-coding RNA (NTAB_LNC004321)
Source: RNAcentral
CAUUUUAUGUACAAAAAAUAUUUCGUCCCCAAAUAUAUAAAUUAGUGACAACUUUGCUUUUGCAAAAAUAAUUUACAAUUUGUAGUUGAAAACUAUUAUAUCGUCGCCAAUUUUUAUUUUUUUUACAAUGCUAGUUAAAAUUAUCAUGAACCGUAAAUAGAUAAUUCUCGGACACGAAAUAUUUUUGUCACUAAAUGUGGUCAAUUUAUGAUGAACAUUUGAUGACGUCAAAAUCUGUAGUUGUACUAUGUAUAAUAAUUUCCCAUUAAUUCAAGAAUUUAUCAUUUACUAAAUGAAAAUAACAUAAUAAAACAUGGAAGGUAACAACAAAAUUCUCACCCAUGAUCACAUAAUUAAGAACUAGUACUAUAUUGAGAUAAUAUCUCAUUACAAACUCCUUAAUAUAAAACACAACAAUAAUUAAAAUUCAUUCAACAACAUGAGGUCAAAUAGAAAUACAAUAAUUAGUAAUAAACUACGGAAAAAAAAAUAUGCUGCUUCCUCAAACGCUAAUGUAAUCACUUGUCUUGUAACUUUGCUCUUGAAUAAAUUUAAACUUUCAUGUACCUGUGGAAGAAAAAAAUAAUUUUAGUACAUUUGAUAACAUAAUUUAGCAAAAAACAUAUUUUCAAACAUUAGUCAUAUCAUAUUUUAAUUUGUGAAGAAAAUAAUAGAACGACAAAUUAGCACUAGCCGGUAGAAAGGUACUUAGUCAAAGUUAGGCGGUAAAUAUUUAAUUCUUCUUUGACUCCAAAUAACCACAAGAAUUAAGACAGAGAUAUGAAAUUAAGAUUAACUAAUCACUCAAAAAUUAAUGAAUAAUAAACAAAUUUCUUCAUACCUCUGCAAUAGAAUUAAAUCAAUAAGAACCCACGAAUACGUACACAUAAUAUAUCAUCUCGAGAAACCCAAAUUUUUAUUGCCCUAUAAUUGAAAGAAAAAGAUAUUCCGUAUGAGAGAUGCAACAGAAAAAAAUUGAAGAAUAAUUAAUAUUUUUUAACUUAGAUUGAGGAUUUGUACCAACGCAAAGGAGGCGCCAGAAGAGGCUUUGCGUCUUAAAACGCCCAUCACGCAAUUUGAUCUUUUAUGUUAUUAAAUCAACAAAAGAAUUCGAAGAAAAUUAAACAUUACAGAAUAUAAAGGAUUUGUAUGUGUGAAAGAGACAGAAAUGAUAAAUUAAUGGAGGUAGGUAAUAUAGAUCUAAGUGGUGCAAUAAUUUGAUUAGGGAGAUGAAUAUCACAAAGUGUUGGGAGAGAAAAGAGGGAGAAUUGAGAAAUGAGGAGGCGUCAGUUCUUAUUAAAAAGAGGUGAUUGGGAACACAAAAAAGAAAAGGAGGGAAACUUGCCGCUAUUUUUUU